UACGUAGGAGGCGAGCGUUGUCCGGAUUUACUGGGCGUAAAGCGCGCGCAGGCGGCACCGUAAGUAUGGUGUGAAAUCUCCCUGCUCAACGGGGAGGGUGCACUGUAAACUGCGGAGCUAGAGGACGGUAGAGGGGGGUAGAAUUGCUGGUGUAGCGGUGAAAUGCGUAGAGAUCAGCAGGAAUACCCGUGGCGAAGGCGGCCCCCUGGGCCGAACCUGACGCUGAGGCGCGAAGGCUAGGGGAGCGAACGGG
RNAcentral lists this ribosomal RNA (253 nucleotides) under uncultured bacterium. RNAcentral's name for it is "partial 16S ribosomal RNA". It matches the Rfam family "Bacterial small subunit ribosomal RNA", at positions 524 to 776 of the family's 1533-position model. The record is from RNAcentral.